This 705-nucleotide ribosomal RNA is filed under the name Roseovarius sp. RNAcentral's name for it is "bacterial SSU rRNA". It matches the Rfam family "Bacterial small subunit ribosomal RNA", at positions 48 to 801 of the family's 1533-position model. The record is from RNAcentral. Lineage: Bacteria; Pseudomonadati; Pseudomonadota; Alphaproteobacteria; Rhodobacterales; Roseobacteraceae.
GCUACCAUGCAGUCGAGCGAGAUCUUCGGAUCUAGCGGCGGACGGGUGAGUAACGCGUGGGAACGUACCCUCUUCUGCGGGAUAGCCACUGGAAACGGUGAGUAAUACCGCAUACGCCCUUCGGGGGAAAGAUUUAUCGGAGGAGGAUCGGCCCGCGUUGGAUUAGGUAGUUGGUGGGGUAAUGGCCUACCAAGCCUACGAUCCAUAGCUGGUUUUAGAGGAUGAUCAGCCACACUGGGACUGAGACACGGCCCAGACUCCUACGGGAGGCAGCAGUGGGGAAUCUUAGACAAUGGGCGCAAGCCUGAUCUAGCCAUGCCGCGUGAGUGACGAAGGCCUUAGGGUCGUAAAGCUCUUUCGCCUGUGAUGAUAAUGACAGUAGCAGGUAAAGAAACCCCGGCUAACUCCGUGCCAGCAGCCGCGGUAAUACGGAGGGGGUUAGCGUUGUUCGGAAUUACUGGGCGUAAAGCGCACGUAGGCGGAUUGGAAAGUAUGGGGUGAAAUCCCAGGGCUCAACCCUGGAACGGCCUCAUAAACUUCCAGUCUGGAGUUCGAGAGAGGUGAGUGGAAUUCCGAGUGUAGAGGUGAAAUUCGUAGAUAUUCGGAGGAACACCAGUGGCGAAGGCGGCUCACUGGCUCGAUACUGACGCUGAGGUGCGAAAGUGUGGGGAGCAAACAGGAUUAGAUACCCUGGUAGUCCACACC